UUAAUGAACUGCGGAAUGUGUUUCACUGGGCUCUCUGCGCCUGAGAUCGCGCAAAACAGAAAGCGCCACGCACGCGCAUCUCCUCACCACCUGGUACCAGACCGUGGGUCGAGGCGCUAAGCACAGAAAAACAAAGGAGCACCUGCUGCCAGAUGGCUUCCCUUGCUUUGAGCCAAGAGGUAAUCAAACUGUACACCUGGAUAGAGAAGCCCCGCCUCCCGCAGAUAAGAAUCAGAAUGGAUUUAUUGAAGUGACACAGUCAUAGAGAGAAUGCAGCACAAAGGCCUGCACCAGACUUCUCUUCUAGGACUAAAGCCUCAGUUUUUGUAUCCCCCUUCGGUUCCUCUUCCACAGAUCUUGCCCUGCCUCGUUGCCCAGCUCAGACAAACACCCUGCCUCAUCUUCCCCAUCUCCUCCCCACUGGGAGUUGGGGGCCCUCAAUCUUGGACUUCUCCAGACUUCACCAGACCGCAGAAUGGCCUUAAAUCCUUUCCAGUUUGCUUGUCCUCAGCCACCAGAUAGUCAGUCAGCAGUACUCAUUAAGCUUGUUCUGCGGGCAAAGCAGUGUACUGAGGCCUUAUCAAGAAAAACUGCAGGAACAGAAGUGGUAGACGUGCCCUUUCAGGAUGUGAAUUAGUGUCUGUGGGUCCCCUGGUGAGUAACCCGAACCUCUCAGAGACUGAGGAAGCUGCCUCAAGUAACAGCUGGUAAGUGACAGUGCAGGACUUCUGACUCCAAGCCCAGGCAUCUGUCACACACCAUGGUUGCCAUAAAGAGAGCCUGUCCUCCUUGGAAAUACAGAGCACCGUGCCCUGAAAUAGACUCGAAGUAUUUUCAGAAUAGCACGUCAAGAAGAGCACACGCACGAUAAACCCUGAGCUUGUGUGUCCUGGUCUGUUUCGUGGAAAAGAAUGGUUCAAGAAGGAAAGGUUCCUAAAGGGGGUAACCAUUAAAACCUAGUUUGAAAGAACAGAGAGCUAUAGAUUGGCAGGCAAGAGAGAAUAAAUUUGGAAUAAGCAUCUUCUCUUGAGGUUACUUAGACAUUCCUACUGUCGUGGAAAGAAUUUUCCACCGUGUCUCCCAGAGUGAGAGGAAUCCGGCUGAAACGUGGCAGGGUGGAUUCAGGUUAAAUAGCACAAAAAAUAUUUCUGGUGAUGAGGUGGUUAAAUACCAAACUAUUUCCCUAAAGGAAGUGGUGAAAUGUAGAUUUUCUUUUCCCUCGGAUGACUUUAGCUUACUCCUGUUGGAAACGGGAGAUGGAAUACAUGAGCUCCGGAAACCUCGUCUGAAAAUGGCAAUUCUGUGGCUAUAAGAUAACUUUAUUAUGCUCACGUAAAAAGAGCUCAGGGCAACCCAUAUAACAACAGACUAUUACUCAACCCCGGACCCUCCCAGAGAGCCACAGCGAAGGGUUUUCUCACCUUUCCUCCCUGUUCCCAUAUCCAACAAGCAUGAACCAGAAAGGGCCUGAGUCACCAGGUCAUGUGACUGAAAGUGCACACGGGGCCUCUCCACACUUGGCACGGCCAGAUGAAACCCAAAUCGCCGUGCCCUGCAAGCUAAGAGCACCAAGCAGUUGCAGGUUUGUCUCAGGAAACAUCCCGGGGCUGCCGUCCAGCCAUUCAAGCUUUUGAGAAACUUCUUACUUAGAAAUGAUUCAUUCCGAGGCACAAUGGCCUGGCCAUAAGACGGGUUCAGUUGGCCACGUUGUUCACAUUGGGGGUCUGCUGGACACUGCAGCUCCAGGAUUGCUGAGGGGAGGCCUCAGCGCCACUCCCUGCUGUAGACGCCAAUCACUGUUCUCCACAGAAGAGGAUGUUUGCAAUGGCUCCUCCCCUGCUCUCUGGCUGCUGUUCAGAUAUGUCUGGAAUGCCUAUUCUGCACCAGGCUUUGUGCUAGGAACUAGGUUUUCUCCCAUCCGUCUUUCAGAAUCAUACGUUUUAUAAUGUAGAAAUGUAUGGUCACUUUCAAUCAGGUUGCUAAAUUUAAAUUUUCGAAUACGUAUUCCCUGAAAGUGAUUAUCACAUCAAGGGCUGUGUUUUUCAAUCUGGUGAUUUGAUUUCUCCACCACCUGCCAGAAAGGGCCGUUUCUCCUAAGGGAGCUUCAGAACUUCCUCCGCAUCGCUUCCACGCUGUCUCCUUCAAAGAAGAUAAACACAGAAAAUGUUGGGCUGCACUGCAGCAUUCUGUAUUGAAAAACUUCGGUUAAGUUGUUCAAAGAAAACUGUGGAGCUUGGUCAAGAGCUUGGUAUCAUUUUCUUGAGGCUAAUUGCUAAAUAUCACUUUUCUGAUGUCCUUGAAGUCCCUGAAUCAGCUGAGAAAAGAAUUGUCAGUAUUCGUAUGACCUAAAUAAUUUUGAAAUCUGCCCUGGAUAUUAGGCCACUGGUACUUAUUACUGUAAGAAACUACACUCUCAGAAAGUGGAAGAGUUCAUUUAAAUAAUGGAGUUGAAAAUAAAGUGAAAAAAGUAAUAGAGGUGGGGAGGGAGGUACUCAGGUAGCAGUUUAGUGAAUACUAACGGCUGACCAAAGGGACUCACACCCAAAUUUACAGAUGCUGAAAUCUAACUCCUUGAACAUCUGCUCAGGAACCCACACAGGCC
RNAcentral lists this long non-coding RNA (2602 nucleotides) under Equus caballus (horse). RNAcentral's name for it is "lncRNA (ENSECAG00000054950.1)". The record is from RNAcentral. Lineage: Eukaryota; Metazoa; Chordata; Mammalia; Perissodactyla; Equidae.